This 429-nucleotide ribosomal RNA is filed under the name Actinomycetes bacterium. RNAcentral describes it as "Actinobacteria bacterium partial 16S ribosomal RNA". It matches the Rfam family "Bacterial small subunit ribosomal RNA", at positions 355 to 776 of the family's 1533-position model. The record is from RNAcentral. Lineage: Bacteria; Bacillati; Actinomycetota; Actinomycetes.
UAGGGAAUCUUCCGCAAUGGGCGAAAGCCUGCCGGAGCAACGCCGCGUGAGUGAUGAAGGUCUUCGGAUCGUAAAACUCUGUUAUUAGGGAAGAACAAAUGUGUAAGUAACUAUGCACGUCUUGACGGUACCUAAUCAGAAAGCCACGGCUAACUACGUGCCAGCAGCCGCGGUAAUACGUAGGUGGCAAGCGUUAUCCGGAAUUAUUGGGCGUAAAGCGCGCGUAGGCGGUUUUUUAAGUCUGAUGUGAAAGCCCACGGCUCAACCGUGGAGGGUCAUUUGAAACUGGAAAACUUGAGUGCAGAAGAGGAAAGUGGAAUUCCAUGUGUAGCGGUGAAAUGCGCAGAGAUAUGGAGGAACACCAGUGGCGAAGGCGACUUUCUGGUCUGUAACUGACGCUGAUGUGCGAAAGCGUGGGGAUCAAACAGG